GUAUCUGUCUGUGACUUUUUGUGUGUAUCUGUGUGCCUAUAUGUGUAUCUGUUUGUGUCAGAUACACAUACAGACACACAGAUACACACAAACAGACAC
Non-coding RNA from Pelobates cultripes (western spadefoot toad), 99 nucleotides. Lineage: Eukaryota; Metazoa; Chordata; Amphibia; Anura; Pelobatidae. The record is from the annotation of a GenBank genome assembly.